Long non-coding RNA from Oncorhynchus nerka (sockeye salmon), 989 nucleotides. RefSeq lists it as uncharacterized. The record is from RefSeq and is a predicted model, not a curated record. The transcript is spliced from 4 exons. Lineage: Eukaryota; Metazoa; Chordata; Actinopteri; Salmoniformes; Salmonidae.
CGCCAACCUUGGCUUUUUACCUGUUCAAACAACACACUCCAGGUGGCAGUAUGCACCCUUUCAGUUUGUUUACCAACUCAUAGAAGUAGUAGAAGAAGAAGAAAAAAUUGACAACUUCAAACGGAAGAUGGACUCAAUGUCAUUGACUGUGCGCUCACAGAUGCCAUAAUGGAACAGAUACAAAGAAAAGUCCUCUAUCAUUCUCAUGGUACUAGCUUGUAGGAUCCCUCUGAUUUCUCUCUGUGUGUGUGUUCACAAAGGCUAAAGUCUCUGCUGAUGUUGCUUCCCCCCUACGGUUCAGUGCCAUCGAUGCUCAGGAAGCAGAAGCAGUGAGUUACAAGUCAUAUGGGCACUCUCCACAAUCUCCUAGCCCAGCUGUUUUAGGUUUGAGAUCCCAGCAACCAUGUACCCUUCAGUCAAUCUAAUCUCCCAACUGUCGUGCUAGACGAGGAUAAGAGGCGAAUCAUAGAUCAACACAAAUCCAUGCAGAGAUUCACCCGAUACAGCUCCACCGGGAGGAGGAGGUGGAUGAGGAGGAGGUCGAUGAGGAGGAGGAGGAGGAGAGGAGGAGGAUGAUGAGAGGGAGGGGUGAGAGGAUGUCGGUCGGAGGUGUCCCUGAAAAUGUUUGUAUGUGUCUCCAGACACGGCCGGGUGUCAGCAGCAGAGCCACGUGGCCUGGCUCCGGAUGGCCCGACAGUAUGCAAAACGGCACCCUGGGAGAAUCAGCUCUUUCAAGUCCAAUUACCUGGUGGAGCCAGUUAUUUCAAAGGCCAUCAGUAGAAGAUGUCGAUUCCGAUAAGGACCUGGACACAUGUGUUCCAUCACACUGAUUCAAACAGGGUUUCCCAGCCCCAACUCUAAAACCCGGACAAAACCUUCAACCAGCCUCGAGCAAUUUGACAAAAACAAACUGAUUUAGCAAGGGACAUAACCGUAUUCAAAAUCAUAUUUAAAUAAAUUCUAACAGCGCAUACAAAUAUUUGUGUGGA